RNAcentral lists this ribosomal RNA (317 nucleotides) under uncultured Alphaproteobacteria bacterium. RNAcentral describes it as "bacterial SSU rRNA". It matches the Rfam family "Bacterial small subunit ribosomal RNA", at positions 78 to 404 of the family's 1533-position model. Lineage: Bacteria; Pseudomonadati; Pseudomonadota; Alphaproteobacteria. The record is from RNAcentral.
GGGAACCGUGAAGCUGAUGACGAGCGGCGGACGGCUGAGUAACGCGUGAGAACAUACCCCAAAGUGAGGGAUAACUAGUCGGAAGAUUAGCUAAUACCGCAUGUGAUCUUUGGAUUAAAGCAUUUAUGCGCUUUGGGAAUGGCUUGCGUACGAUUAGAUAGUUGGUGAGGUAAAGGCUCACCAAGUCGACGAUCGUUAGAUGGUUUGAGAGGAUGAUCAUCCAGACUGGGACUGAGACACGGCCCAGACUCCUACGGGAGGCAGCAGUAGGGAAUCUUUCACAAUGGGCGAAAGCCUGAUGGAGCAAUGCCGCGUGC